Molecule: transfer RNA, 67 nt
Filed under: Teladorsagia circumcincta
Lineage: Eukaryota; Metazoa; Nematoda; Chromadorea; Rhabditida; Trichostrongylidae
Description: tRNA-Glu
Source: RNAcentral
ACCAGGUCUAGUGGUGAGGAUUCGUGGUUUUCACCCAAGCGGCCCGGGUUCGAUUCUCGGCAUGGGA